AGUGAACGCUGGCGGUAGGCCUAACACAUGCAAGUCGAACGGCGGCACAGUAAGAGCUUGCUCUUACGGGUGGCGAGUGGCGGACGGGUGAGGAAUACAUCGGAAUCUACUUUUUCGUGGGGGAUAACGUAGGGAAACUUACGCUAAUACCGCAUACGACCUACGGGUGAAAGCAGGGGAUCUUCGGACCUUGCGCGAUUGAAUGAGCCGAUGUCGGAUUAGCUAGUUGGCGGGGUAAAGGCCCACCAAGGCGACGAUCCGUAGCUGGUCUGAGAGGAUGAUCAGCCACACUGGAACUGAGACACGGUCCAGACUCCUACGGGAGGCAGCAGUGGGGAAUAUUGGACAAUGGGCGCAAGCCUGAUCCAGCCAUACCGCGUGGGUGAAGAAGGCCUUCGGGUUGUAAAGCCCUUUUGCUGGGAAAGAAAAGCAGCAGGUUAAUACCCCGCUGUUCUGACGGUACCCAAAGAAUAAGCACCGGCUAACUUCGU
This 491-nucleotide ribosomal RNA is filed under the name uncultured bacterium. Its description in RNAcentral is "partial 16S ribosomal RNA". It matches the Rfam family "Bacterial small subunit ribosomal RNA", at positions 29 to 506 of the family's 1533-position model. The record is from RNAcentral.